This is a long non-coding RNA of Papaver somniferum (opium poppy), 562 nucleotides long. RefSeq lists it as uncharacterized. The transcript is spliced from 4 exons. NCBI's taxonomy places the organism in Eukaryota, Viridiplantae, Streptophyta, Magnoliopsida, Ranunculales, Papaveraceae. The record is from RefSeq and is a predicted model, not a curated record.
UUUUUUUUCCUUCUUCAGUUCUUCUUCUUCGCCGCUCUCCUCCUCCAUCACUGUGUUCAUAAGAAAACGCCACCAUCACUGUUUUUUUGAUUCAUUCAACAAUAAGUCCACAACAGUUAAAUUUAGACUGAGGAAUGAUCGAUCUAUCUGUUGGGUACCCGAAAUCUUCAGAAAGAUCCUCCUACUUCUUGCUCAGCAGGUAAUCUUGAUUAGUUGCUGAAGUUUAGAGCUACUGAAACUCUAUUAUUGGACUAGAGACAGUACAACUAGUUGCUCUUACUGAGCGGUACUUGGUCCUAUCAACAAUAAUGCCACCACCACCAGUGCUGCUGUCAUGGAAUAGAUUUUCAAGACUUUGUAUUUGCCACCAGUGCUACUUGUUAAUUUUUUACCACCACUUCCAGUGCUACUUGUUACUUUGCUACUUGUUACUUUUGUCUCCAAUAAGACUAUUUUUUAAUUGUGUGUGAGUGACUGUGUCUGUCAGUCUUUUGCUACUUGUUACUUUUUCAGUUUUUCAAGACUUGGUAUUUGACACUUUUCUUUGCUAGUAUUAUUGCUA